GGAUGUGAGGGUGUUCUGGCUUUUGCCUGUUUGAUCUCCAGGGUUGAUUGGGCAGAUGUCAACUUCCUCCCUCAGCAAUUCAUGUGAGUCUCUCCUGAAGCUGCAUAUUGUUUGCUGCAAAGGAUGACCAUCUCCAUGGAGGAGGACCGCCAUGCUUUGGUCAAGGGUGUAAGAUUAGCUGCACUCCUCUGCUAGAACCUCCAAACAAGCUCUCAAGAAAGAGAAGGAAAGGGGAGGAAGGGAAAAAGAAGGAAGAGA
This 258-nucleotide small nuclear RNA is filed under the name Dipodomys ordii (Ord's kangaroo rat). RNAcentral's name for it is "7SK RNA". It matches the Rfam family "7SK RNA", at positions 1 to 290 of the family's 331-position model. From Rfam's summary of the family: 7SK was discovered as an abundant small nuclear RNA in the mid-70s but a possible function has only recently been suggested. Two independent studies have found that 7SK RNA binds the CDK9/cyclin T complex (known as elongation factor P-TEFb). Lineage: Eukaryota; Metazoa; Chordata; Mammalia; Rodentia; Heteromyidae. The record is from Rfam by way of RNAcentral.